This 498-nucleotide ribosomal RNA is filed under the name uncultured Sphingobacterium sp. RNAcentral describes it as "bacterial SSU rRNA". It matches the Rfam family "Bacterial small subunit ribosomal RNA", at positions 9 to 516 of the family's 1533-position model. Lineage: Bacteria; Pseudomonadati; Bacteroidota; Sphingobacteriia; Sphingobacteriales; Sphingobacteriaceae. The record is from RNAcentral.
GAGUUUGAUCCUGGCUCAGGAUGAACGCUAGCGGCAGGCUUAAUACAUGCAAGUCGUGGGGCAGCAUGACUGUAGCAAUACAGUUGAUGGCGACCGGCAAACGGGUGCGGAACACGUACACAACCUUCCUUCAAGUGGGGGAUAGCCCAGGGAAACUUGGAUUAAUACCCCGUAAUAUAUAGAAGUGGCAUCGCUUUUAUACUAUAGCAGCAAUGCGCUUGAAGAUGGGUGUGCGGCUGAUUAGAUAGUUGGCGGGGUAACGGCCCACCAAGUCGACGAUCAGUAACUGGUCUGAGAGGAUGAUCAGCCACACUGGGACUGAGACACGGCCCAGACUCCUACGGGAGGCAGCAGUUAGGAAUCUUGGACAAUGGGCGCAAGCCUGAUCCAGCCAUGCCGCGUGAGUGAUGAGGGCCCUAGGGUUGUAAAGCUCUUUCAGCGGGGAAGAUAAUGACGGUACCCGCAGAAGAAGCCCCGGCCAACUUCGUGCCAGCCGCC